This 71-nucleotide transfer RNA is filed under the name Cordylochernes scorpioides. Its description in RNAcentral is "tRNA-Ser". The record is from RNAcentral. Lineage: Eukaryota; Metazoa; Arthropoda; Arachnida; Pseudoscorpiones; Chernetidae.
UGCAUCGGCCGGGAAUCGAACCCGGGCCGCCCGUGUAGCAGGCAAGCAUUCUACCACUGAACCACCGAUGG